GGAAGAGGCUGGAGUGGUCUUAUUUAGUGAACCGCGCCGUGGUGUGUUGAAAAAGUGAAGCGCAAUAGCAUAAAGCGCAAUUAAAUUCUGGUAGGCGACUAGUGCGAGUAGAAACGAAGAUUAGAAGAUUCGUAGCAGCAUCGGUUUAUUGCCGACACAUCACACUUUUCGUUACGACCGCUCUUAGACCCCACCUAUCGGCUGCAAAGUUUUCCCGGGGUGCACGUGGCCGGAAGAAGGCUGCGUCCGUAAGUUCCCGCGCCUUAGGCAG
Molecule: long non-coding RNA, 271 nt
Organism: Armigeres subalbatus
Lineage: Eukaryota; Metazoa; Arthropoda; Insecta; Diptera; Culicidae
Exons: 3
Source: RefSeq, a predicted model, not a curated record